GGGGGCGUACUGGUUUCGACCGGAUAGCUGGAGGUUCAAAUUGCGUGUCGUGGUUGGUCGGCUGGCCACGUAAAAAGUCGACCAUGCUUCAAUUGACGAAGCUCAGUUUGCUUUGGCAGCUUAAUUAAGUUGUCCCGUGCGAUGGCCCCAGUCGGAAGGGCCUCCCAAACGGUCGCCAAAUCCGACUCGCUCUGUUUCACUGCCCGGUACGGACGGAGUUAAAUUUGUUCUGGGCUGGUGGAAUCCGCACCCUGUUGGCCGGGGGCGGCUUCCACAAGACUAAAAUUGGCCAAAUAUGCACGUAGACGUUUGUUCUGAAACAUCACGGGACGCGGGUUCGAUUCCCGCCGCCUCCAC
This 357-nucleotide transfer-messenger RNA is filed under the name marine eukaryotic metagenome. It matches the Rfam family "transfer-messenger RNA". Rfam says of the family: Bacterial tmRNA, also known as 10Sa RNA or SsrA, is named for its dual tRNA and mRNA-like properties. Its role is to liberate the mRNA from a stalled ribosome. The record is from RNAcentral.